This 379-nucleotide ribosomal RNA is filed under the name uncultured eukaryote. RNAcentral's name for it is "partial 18S ribosomal RNA". It matches the Rfam family "Eukaryotic small subunit ribosomal RNA", at positions 592 to 976 of the family's 1831-position model. The record is from RNAcentral.
CAAUAGCGUAUAUUUAAGUUGUUGCAGUUAAAAAGCUCGUAGUUGGAUUUCGGAUGGGAUUUGCCGGUCCGUCGUUACGAUGUGCACUGGCCAGUCCUAUCUUGUUGUCGGGGACUAGCUCCUUGGAUUCACUUCCUGGGACUAGGAGCUGACGAGGUUACUUUGAGUAAAUUAGAGUGUUCAAAGCAAGCCUACGCUCUGAAUACAUUAGCAUGGAAUAACACGAUAGGACUCUGGCUUAUCUUGUUGGUCUGUGAGACCAGAGUAAUGAUUAAGAGGGACAGUCGGGGACAUUCGUAUUUCAUUGUCAGAGGUGAAAUUCUUGGAUUUACGGAAGACGAACAUCUGCGAAAGCAUUUGCCAAGGAUGUUUUCAUUGA